This 857-nucleotide ribosomal RNA is filed under the name Clitopilus crispus. RNAcentral's name for it is "partial large subunit ribosomal RNA". It matches the Rfam family "Eukaryotic large subunit ribosomal RNA", at positions 72 to 944 of the family's 3401-position model. The record is from RNAcentral. Lineage: Eukaryota; Fungi; Basidiomycota; Agaricomycetes; Agaricales; Entolomataceae.
GGAUUCCCCUAGUAACUGCGAGUGAAGCGGGAAAAGCUCAAAUUUAAAAUCUGGUAGUUUCACUGCCCGAGUUGUAAACUAGAGAAGCGUUAUCCGCGCUGGACCGUGUAUAAGUCUCCUGGAAUGGAGCGUCAUAGAGGGUGAGAAUCCCGUCUUUGACACGGACUACCAGGGCUUUGUGAUGCGCUCUCAAAGAGUCGAGUUGUUUGGGAAUGCAGCUCUAAAUGGGUGGUAAAUUCCAUCUAAAGCUAAAUAUUGGCGAGAGACCGAUAGCGAACAAGUACCGUGAGGGAAAGAUGAAAAGAACUUUGGAAAGAGAGUUAAACAGUACGUGAAAUUGUUGAAAGGGAAACGCUUGAAGUCAGUCGCGUCGGCUAGGAAUCAGCCUUGCUUUUGCUUGGUGUACUUUCUAGUCGACGGGUCAGCAUCAGUUUUGAUCGGUGGAAAAAGGCCAGCGGAAUGUGGCACCUUCGGGUGUGUUAUAGCUGCUGGUUGUAUACAUCGGUUGGGACUGAGGAACUAGCACUCUGUGUUUUAGAUGCUGGCAUAAUGGCUUUAAUCGACCCGUCUUGAAACACGGACCAAGGAGUCUAACAUGCCUGCGAGUGUUUGGGUGGAAAACCCGAGCGCGUAAUGAAAGUGAAAGUUGAGAUCCCUGUCGUGGGGAGCAUCGACGCCCGGACCAGACCUUUUGUGACGGAUCCGCGGUAGAGCAUGUAUGUUGGGACCCGAAAGAUGGUGAACUAUGCCUGAAUAGGGUGAAGCCAGAGGAAACUCUGGUGGAGGCUCGUAGCGAUUCUGACGUGCAAAUCGAUCGUCAAAUUUGGGUAUAGGGGCGAAAGACUAAUCGAACCAUC